GGGGGUGACUGGUUUCGACAGGGUGGGUCUGAGAUGGGCAGCAGGCCGUGGUCUCCUCGCCACGUUAAACAGGGGUACCGUCAAAUUGAAUUGACGACAACAACUCUUUUGGGCCCCAGCUGGCUCUCGCCGCUUAAUUAGAUAGCGGCGCGCCAAUCCGGUGAUCGCUCCCGUUGCCGGUGCGGUGUCAUCUGAGGGAGAUGCUCGGGCGGACGUAGUCGGUAUGCCGCCCGAAAAGACCGAACCGACUGGGGCGCCAAGCGCGGGCAACCGGGUGCGCGGCGUCUGAGACCCAACCGGUGGCUGAGCCUGGAGACACCUGUCAGGGACCUGCUUUGGACCGGAGUUCGAUUCUCCGCACCUCCACCA
Molecule: non-coding RNA, 369 nt
Organism: Olsenella sp. An290
Lineage: Bacteria; Bacillati; Actinomycetota; Coriobacteriia; Coriobacteriales; Atopobiaceae
Source: Rfam